This is a long non-coding RNA of Homo sapiens (human), 633 nucleotides long. NCBI's taxonomy places the organism in Eukaryota, Metazoa, Chordata, Mammalia, Primates, Hominidae. The record is from Ensembl.
UGGCUCCAACAUCCCAGGGAAUUGUGUCACUCCCAUUGAGCAGCUGUGGGGCCCUCUCCCACAUGGCCCAGGUCCACCACUCUGUCAAAGGUCGCACAGCCCAGACAAAAACAGGACACAGCAGUGUGUGAAUGAGCCGGGCUUUCUCCUUCCCUCCACGUAAUAGAAGGUGCCUGAGGUUGUUGAAACACAGUCCAUUUCUCCUGGGAAUGACAAGAAUUUGAGGGAUGCUGACUUUCAAGGAAUACUGCAUGACAGGCAUCAAGAUAAACCUGAUGAAGAAAACAUAGGCCAGAAUCUGGGAAUCGGGAGCAAAGUAAUACAGCUUCGGGGACAGGCACGUAAUGAGGUCAUGAUGUAGGAGACUCCCUGCAGGACUGGCGGCCCCUGUUCCCUGGGUUGUUCUGGCUCUUUCAGAACCUGACCCUGGAACAGGACUGAGCAGGUGCCUGUGUGCACAGAAGACCUUGUGUGAGUCCUUUGGUACCACGUUUGCUGCACGAAUGUCUGAGACACCUCACAGUCGCUUGGUUCAGCCUCUCCCUCCUCUCUCCGCUGGGGAACAUCAUCCCUCAUCACUGGAAGAAAUUACAAGGAUUGUGUAAACAAUUACAAGUAUUCUACAAACAGUGA